RNAcentral lists this unclassified non-coding RNA (1876 nucleotides) under Hevea brasiliensis (rubber tree). The record is from RNAcentral. Lineage: Eukaryota; Viridiplantae; Streptophyta; Magnoliopsida; Malpighiales; Euphorbiaceae.
GGGAAGAGCAUGGCGGCUCAAUUUUUUCAUUGUUUUCCUCCCGUUACGAGGAAAUCUCUUCACUCCAUUUUCAUCCAAAAGGACACUUUUCUUCCACCCUACUUCCAUUUUCAUCUCUUUAAUCUUUCCAUUUCAAAGUCCACCCCUUCAUUUCAUUAAACCUAAGAAAGCAAAUAGAGAAACAAGUAAAGAGAAAGCUUGAGGGCAACUUCUUUCAGGUAUGAGUUGUGGAAAGUGAAGAAGAAAAAAAAAAAUCAAAGUUAGGAGGCUAAGGCUUUCGGCCAAGGUGAGAUUUUUGGCUACCCUCUUUGUUUCUUUUAUGAUUUCUUCUUCCAUUAACUUCUAUGGCUGUUUGUGGCGAAAUAAAGGCGGGAAUUUGAUAAAUCAAAGGCAAAAAUAUAGGAGGAGGAAUAAUGCCCUGUUCGGCUACACUUGUGGUAAGAAAGGAAGUUGUUUCCUUUCCCUAGAAGUUGUCCUUUUAGACUCUAACCAGUAUCAGUUUAUGCUUUAAGAGAAUAAUUGGUGCAAAGAGAAGCAAGGAGAGUAAAGACCCAAACUUAGGGUUUUGGGUGCCUAGAACGUGUGCAUUUUACCUUGUUUGCUUAUAAAAUUCUUUUAUUUGUUUCCUUUCUAGAAUCCUAGUAAAUGACAAAUAAAAUCCCUAUUAUGGUGAUAGAAGCAAAUUGAAGAGAAGUGACUCCCUAAAGUUUCGGCCAAAUAAUGGAAAUUGAGGGAGAAUCUGGAUUGUGGAAGGAUAAGAGCUUAAUGCCCUUCCUUUCUAUAUUUAUGAUGAAAUUUAAUAACCAUAGUAGAAAGGAAAAUAUAUUUAAGUGAAUGUUGCUUGUAUAGUGUAGAUAAAGGAAGUAACUUUCCAAAUGAGGAUGAGGGGCUCUUGGAAAUUUAGGUGUAUUCACUAUUCCUUCUCAUUACAUUUUGAAGCGGUGGACCGGAGACGUGAAGGGCAACUCUAAAGCAAGACGUGUGCCAAAACAACUUGAGACUAAACAACAACAUUAUAGUGACUUGUUUCAAUUGGCCACUUCAUUAAGCAAAGAAGGCUCUAUAAGUCAUGAAAGCUAUGGUUUUGUUUCUCAUGCUAUGAAAAAGGCUUUGAAGCAAUGUAAAUCAAUGAAUGAUGCAAUCAAAAACCAUGGGAGAUUUGUUUGUUCUGAGCAUAUUAAUAAAGAAAAUAUUGAUAGUAAUGUGGUAAGAGAAAACAUGGUGAUACUUGAUCUAGAUUUAUCAAAAUUAAAAAGAGCUUAUAAACGAAUCAAGUCUGCAAUAGAGAAAGGACACAAAAGAAGCAACAAAAAAGUGAGAAAGGUUAGUAACUCUGUGCGUGUGUGUGUGUAACUAAAAUGUUUUAUUUUAUAGUCUUGUUUCAUUUGUAUUAUUAGCAUUAUAUGUUUUUAACUUUUUAUCUUGGUGUUAAAUCAGACUGAUGCUAACAGUAUGUCUAUGAACCCAUGCUAAAAUCCUGCACUCAAGGGAUGUUAAGCAAAUAUGCCAUUUAUAUUUGUUGCAUUUGCUAUUGGUUUGUAAUUUAAAAUCAUGUAUUGCAAGAUGCAUAUGGCUCAUCAACCCAUGAUUAGUUUUCAAAUCAAUUGCCAUUAUAUGAUUAUCAUUUAUAUCAAUUAAAUUCUAUUUUAUUUGUUUAUACAAUUAGAAAUUUGAUAUCUGAUUGGCUUUUAUUAAACUCUAUAUAGGUACAUAUGGGAGUAAUAGUUGAUCUACAUUCAAUUUUUUCUUUAAAUUGAAGGCAAAAAGGUAUUUUAUGGCAAUUGUAAAUAGAACUUUUAAUUGAACAUAUAUUAUUUGAUACUUCCGUUUAGUAUCUUUAUACUUGCCUUAAUCAUUUUUUUUUUUUUUUUUUUUU